Molecule: ribosomal RNA, 482 nt
Filed under: uncultured bacterium
Lineage: Bacteria
Description: partial 16S ribosomal RNA
Rfam family: Bacterial small subunit ribosomal RNA
Source: RNAcentral
AGUGAACGUUGGCGGCGUGGAUUAGGCAUGCAAGUCGAGCGAGAACCGUAGCAAUACGGGGACAGCGGCGAAAGGGACAGUAAUGUGUAGGUACCUACCUCCGGGUUCGGGAUAGCUGCGGGAAACUGCAGGUAAUACCGAAUAACGUCUCCGGACCAAAGGUGUGAUUCCACCUGGAGAGGGGCCUGCAUCCUAUUAGCUUGUUGGCGGGGUAACGGCCCUCCAAGGCGACGAUGGGUAGCGGGUGUGAGAGCACGACCCGCGUCAUUGGGACUGAGACACUGCCCAGACACCUACGGGUGGCUGCAGUCGUGAAUCUUCGGCAAUGGGCGCAAGCCUGGCCGAGCGACGCCGCGUGCGGGAUGAAGGCCUUCGGGUUGUAAACCGCUGUCGUAGAGGAGGAAAUGCAGGGGGGUUCUCCCCUCUGUUUGACCUAUUCUAGGAGGAAGUACGGGCUAAGUUCGUGCCAGCCGCCGCUGUAA